GGAGGGGGCAAGCGUUUAUUCGGAUUUACUGGGCGUAAAGCGCACGUAGGUGGCAUGGUAAGUCAAAGGUGAAAGCCCUCGGCUCAACCGAGGAAUUGCCUUUGAAACUGCUUUGCUUGAGUCCGGGAGGGGGGAGCGGAAUUCCCAGUGUAGCGGUGAAAUGCGUAGAUACUGGGAGGAACACCGGUGGCGAAGGCGGCUCCCUGGACCGGUACUGACACUGAGGUGCGAAAGCGUGGGUAGCAAACAGGAUUAGAUACCCUGGUAGUCCACGCCGUAAACGAUGGGCACUAGGUGCAGCGGGUGUCGACCCCCUGCUGCGCCGUAGUUAACGCAUUAAGUGCCCCGCCUGGGGAGUACGGUCGCAAGGCUG
Molecule: ribosomal RNA, 373 nt
Filed under: uncultured organism
Description: partial 16S ribosomal RNA
Rfam family: Bacterial small subunit ribosomal RNA
Source: RNAcentral